CUACGGGUUGCUGCAGUGAGGAAUAUUGCACAAUGGGGGGAACCCUGAUGCAGCAGCGCCGCGUGGAGGAUGACGCAUUUCGGUGUGUAAACUCCUUUUAUAUGUCAAGAAAAUGACGGUAGCAUAUGAAUAAGCACCGGCUAACUCCGUGCCAGCAGCCGCGGUAAUACGGAGGGUGCAAGCGUUACUCGGAAUCACUGGGCGUAAAGGACGCGUAGGCGGGUUGGAAAGUCAGGUGUGAAAUCCUACAGCUUAACUGUAGAACUGCACUUGAAACUUCCAAUCUAGAGUAUGGGAGGGGGAGAUGGAAUUAGUGGUGUAGGGGUAAAAUCCGUAGAUAUCACUAGGAAUACCUAAAGCGAAGGCGAUCUCCUGGAACAUUACUGACGCUAAGGCGUGAAAGCGUGGGGAGCAAACAGGAUUAGAUACCCGGGUAGUC
RNAcentral lists this ribosomal RNA (439 nucleotides) under uncultured bacterium. RNAcentral describes it as "partial 16S ribosomal RNA". It matches the Rfam family "Bacterial small subunit ribosomal RNA", at positions 339 to 795 of the family's 1533-position model. The record is from RNAcentral.